This 493-nucleotide ribosomal RNA is filed under the name uncultured bacterium. RNAcentral's name for it is "partial 16S ribosomal RNA". It matches the Rfam family "Bacterial small subunit ribosomal RNA", at positions 30 to 507 of the family's 1533-position model. The record is from RNAcentral.
AUUGAACGCUGGCGGCAUGCUUUACACAUGCAAGUCGAACGGCAACGCGGAGAAGCUUGCUUCUCUGUCGGCGAGUGGCGAGCGGGUGAGUAUAGCAUCGGAACGUGCCAAGUAGUGGGGAAUAACCAAACGAAAGGUUGGCUAAUACCGCGUAAGCUCCAAGGAGGAAAGUAGGGGACCUAAAUAAGGCCUUACGCUAUUUGAUCGGCCGAUGUCGGAUUGGCUAGUUGGUGGGGUAAUGGCUCACCAAGGCAAUGAUCCGUAGCGGGUCUGGGAGGACGAUACGCCACACUGGGACUGAGACACGGCCCAGACUCCUACGGGAGGCAGCAGUGGGGAAUUUUGGACAAUGGGGGAAACCCUGAUCCAGCCAUGCCGCGUGUAUGAAGAAGGCCUUAGGUUUGUAAAGUACUUUUGUUAGGGAAGAAAAGCUAGUUUUUAAUAAAAAUUAGUGAUGACGGUACCUAAAGAAUAAGCACCGGCUAACUACGUG